RNAcentral lists this long non-coding RNA (235 nucleotides) under Daucus carota (carrot). RNAcentral describes it as "long non-coding RNA (DCAR_LNC002581)". Lineage: Eukaryota; Viridiplantae; Streptophyta; Magnoliopsida; Apiales; Apiaceae. The record is from RNAcentral.
AAUUCAGCAUUAUAAUUCAAUCAGUGAUUACUCCGAGGCCUCAGCAAAAACAUGCAACUUGUGCUUAGAAUUCAUAGUCUGCGGCUUUGAUUACAGAUGUGAGACUUGCAGUGGCAUCCAAAUCCACCAAUGCUGUGCUUUCGUGAUUCCACGAAGCAUGACUCACCGAUGGGACUCUCACACCAUAUCCUUGUUGUAUCCUCCAAUAUAUUUCAAGGGCACAAAAUAUUGCGAG